Molecule: non-coding RNA, 45 nt
Organism: Schistosoma mattheei
Lineage: Eukaryota; Metazoa; Platyhelminthes; Trematoda; Strigeidida; Schistosomatidae
Source: Rfam
AUCUAGCUGAUGAGUCCCAAAUAGGAUGAAUCCCGCGUUCUGGAU